UGAGGUGCUUAGCUGUUAACUAAGUUUUUAUGGGUUUGAGUCCCAUUGAUCUAG
RNAcentral lists this transfer RNA (54 nucleotides) under Macaca nemestrina (pig-tailed macaque). RNAcentral describes it as "partial tRNA-Asn". Lineage: Eukaryota; Metazoa; Chordata; Mammalia; Primates; Cercopithecidae. The record is from RNAcentral.